UGGGGAAUAUUGCACAAUGGGCGAAAGCCUGAUGCAGCGACGCCGCGUGAGGGAUGACGGCCUUCGGGUUGUAAACCUCUUCAGCAGGACGAAGCGCAAGUGACGGUACCUGCAGAAGAAGCACCGGCUAACUACGUGCCAGCAGCCGCGGUAAUACGUAGGGUGCAAGCGUUGUCCGGAAUUACUGGGCGUAAAGCGUGCGUAGGUGGUUGUUUAAGUCUGUCGUGAAAGCCCUGGGCUCAACCUGGGAAUUGCGAUGGAAACUGGGCGACUAGAGUGUGGCAGAGGAUAGUGGAAUUCCUGGUGUAGCAGUGAAAUGCGUAGAGAUCAGGAGGAACAUCCGUGGCGAAGGCGACUGUCUGGGCCAACACUGACACUGAGGCACGAAAGCGUGGGGAGCAAACAGGAUUAGAUACCC
RNAcentral lists this ribosomal RNA (418 nucleotides) under uncultured bacterium. Its description in RNAcentral is "bacterial SSU rRNA". It matches the Rfam family "Bacterial small subunit ribosomal RNA", at positions 355 to 787 of the family's 1533-position model. The record is from RNAcentral.